Molecule: long non-coding RNA, 1378 nt
Organism: Canis lupus familiaris (dog)
Lineage: Eukaryota; Metazoa; Chordata; Mammalia; Carnivora; Canidae
Exons: 4
Source: RefSeq, a predicted model, not a curated record
AGUGAUCUGGGUGUGGACUGAGUCCUGAGGGGCUGGAUGGUCCAUUAUGGCCUCAUGUUGAUAUCUAGCAGCUGGGAGACUAGCUGGUCUGAAGAAAGGGCUAAGCUGAGAUUUCUGCUCCUGAAGAAAGGUCCUUUAAGUGAAAAAGAAGAAUAUGUUAUAAUCAACAUGUUAUUGGACACGCACUAUACAAGGUGCUAAGAAUUCCAAGAUGAAUAAGAAAGUUCAAGUUUUUCUCCAAACCAAGACAAAAACCAGAGUGCUAUACGGAGACAAGCACAGUGCUCAUAAGAUUCUGCAGAAAUGCUCACUUUCACAGCAGGACAUUCAACCAUCUGGGCUUCAUCAAGGCAGAUCCUCCACCACUCCACAGCUACUAGGGGGCUGGGAAUGGCCAUAUAGCGCUUCUGGUUCCGUAAGCGACGUCCAUCCUCACUAUUGCUGUGUGGGAUAUCUACAUAGUUUAGUUCUGAACGAAGGACAUCAUAGGUAAUGAUAACUAUAUCCUGUUCAGCCAAAAAAUGAGGUUGUAAAAAACCAUCUUUCUUCACUCCUUGGUAUACCUAGGAAAUAAUCACCACAGAUAGAAUUAUUGCAGAAAGGCUCAUCAAAGAUAACUAAAAUAUUCAUUCCUUUAUAUCUUUACUGAGCUCUAUUUGUUUAGUACCAGACACGCUAUGAGAUAUAUUCUCCAUAUGCCUAGAGAAAGAUACAUUUUAGGGUGGAAGACCAAUGACAUAAGCAAUGUGAAAGGAAAUGUAACAGAAGUAAAAGUGGUAGCACAGUGGAAAGACCAAUGUUGGAGCUGAGAAGGUAAGUUCAGAGAGGAGUGAAAAUUUGAGGUGGAUCUUGAAGAACACUUAGGAGUUCUCCCAGGGGGAGCAAGAAGAAAAGGUAGGUAGUGCAUACAAAGGUAUGAAGAAGUAGAACAGUAAGAGCUAUAAUUUACUGAAUAUCUUUUAUAUUUCGGACACCAUGCUAAGCUUUAACUCUUAUCUUCAAUAACAAUCUUGUUCGUAGUUGUUAUUACUCCUAUCCUACACAUAUGAAACAUCAAGUUUCUUGCUCAAAACUGGCAGAGUCUAGAUUCAAAGCAAGGGCUAUCUACCUUACAAAACAGAGCUCCUCAAGGGCACAGAUGGGUGUUUUACUUAUUACUAUAUUCUUUUUCCAUGUCUAUAAGCAGUAGCUGAAAUAUCGAAAACCUUAAGUAACAUUUGUGUGGAAAGAACAAAGGGAGUGAAGAAUAUGAACAUCAAAAACUCAAAACUUGGGCAGCCUGGGUGGCUCAGUGGUUUAGUACCUGCUUUCGGCCCAGGGCGUGAUCCUGGAGACCCGGGAUCGAGUUCCACAUCGGGCUCCCUGCAUGGACUCUGCU